This 254-nucleotide ribosomal RNA is filed under the name uncultured bacterium. RNAcentral's name for it is "partial 16S ribosomal RNA". It matches the Rfam family "Bacterial small subunit ribosomal RNA", at positions 524 to 776 of the family's 1533-position model. The record is from RNAcentral.
UACGUAGGGAGCGAGCGUUGUCCGGAUUCAUUGGGCGUAAAGAGCUCGUAGGCGGCUUGGUAAGUCGGAUGUGAAACCUCCAGGCUCAACCUGGAGUCGCCAUCCGAUACUGCCAUGGCUAGAGUCCGGUAGGGGCCCACGGAAUUCCUGGUGUAGCGGUGAAAUGCGUAGAGAUCGGGAGGAACACCAGAGGCGAAGGCGGCGACCUGGACAAGUACUGACACUCAACUACGAAAGCGUGGGGAGCAAACAGG